UACGGGGGGGUAAGCGUUGUUCGGAAUUACUGGGCGUAAAGGGCUCGUAGGCGGCCAACUAAGUCAGACGUGAAAUCCCUCGGCUUAACCGGGGAACUGCGUCUGAUACUGGAUGGCUUGAGUUUGGGAGAGGGAUGCGGAAUUCCAGGUGUAGCGGUGAAAUGCGUAGAUAUCUGGAGGAACACCGGUGGCGAAGGCGGCAUCCUGGACCAACACUGACGCUGAGUGAGCGAAAGCCAGGGGAGCAAACGGG
RNAcentral lists this ribosomal RNA (253 nucleotides) under uncultured bacterium. Its description in RNAcentral is "partial 16S ribosomal RNA". It matches the Rfam family "Bacterial small subunit ribosomal RNA", at positions 524 to 776 of the family's 1533-position model. The record is from RNAcentral.